RNAcentral lists this ribosomal RNA (406 nucleotides) under uncultured bacterium. RNAcentral describes it as "partial 16S ribosomal RNA". It matches the Rfam family "Bacterial small subunit ribosomal RNA", at positions 28 to 526 of the family's 1533-position model. The record is from RNAcentral.
GACGAACGCUGGCGGCGUGCUUAACACAUGCAAGUCGAACGAGUGGCGAACGGGUGAGUAAUACGUGGGUAACCUGCCCUCUUUUUGGGAUAAGCCUUGGAAACGGGGUCUAAUACCGAAUAAAGGGGGAUGGGCUCGCGGCCUAUCAGCUUGUUGGUGGGGUGAUGGCCUACCAAGGCGGUGACGGGUAGCCGGCCUGAGAGGGUGACCGGCCACAUUGGGACUGAGAUACGGCCCAGACUCCUACGGGAGGCAGCAGUGGGGAAUAUUGGACAAUGGGCGCAAGCCUGAUCCAGCCAUACCGCGUGGGUGAAGAAGGCCUUCGGGUUGUAAAGCCCUUUUGUUGGGAAAACGGUACCCAAAGAAUAAGCACCGGCUAACUUCGUGCCAGCCGCCGCGGUAAUUC